AUGCGACUGGUUGGUGAGAUUUACGACCCCGCCUCCAGGGAAUUUGUGAUUCCGGGACGUGGAAGACUGCCGUUGAACGAGGAAUCCGUGUUCUGCACUUUGGGUGUGCCCCAUGGACAAAUCAAAGUCCCGUAUGAGGUUAAUAACAAGAUCGAGGAAGCGUUGUUCCCCCGUUUAUUUCCUGGGUUGGAAUCCAUGCUGAACACGUCUGUACUGGCAGAUUCGCUGCAGGCCAUGACAACCCAUGGCGAGGUUUUUAAGAUAAAACUACUCAUGUACCUCAUCUCAGCUGUUUUUUGCGCCGACCACUUCUCUUUGCCCAAGCAACAAAUGCUUCCCCAUCCUGGCGAAACUGAAAGAUGUGAAGAACAUGAAUUGGUGUAA
Molecule: ribosomal RNA, 384 nt
Filed under: Triticum aestivum (bread wheat)
Lineage: Eukaryota; Viridiplantae; Streptophyta; Magnoliopsida; Poales; Poaceae
Description: partial small subunit ribosomal RNA
Source: RNAcentral